UGGGGAAUAUUGCACAAUGGGCGCAAGCCUGAUGCAGCCAUACCGCGUGUGUGAAGAAGGCUCUAGGGUUGUAAAGCACUUUCAGCGAGGAGGAAAGGUUAGUAGUUAAUACCUGCUAGCUGUGACGUUACUCGCAGAAGAAGGACCGGCUAACUCCGUGCCAGCAGCCGCGGUAAUACGGAGGGUCCAAGCGUUAAUCGGAAUUACUGGGCGUAAAGCGUACGUAGGUUGUUUAUUAAGUUGGAUGUGAAAGCCCAGGGCUCAACCUUGGAACUGCAUUCAAAACUGAUGAACUAGAGUAUGGUAGAGGUAAGUGGAAUUUCCUGUGUAGCGGUGAAAUGCGUAGAGAUGGGAAGGAACAUCAGUGGCGAAGGCGACUUACUGGACCAAUACUGACACUGAGGUACGAAAGCGUGGGUAGCAAACAGG
RNAcentral lists this ribosomal RNA (429 nucleotides) under uncultured bacterium. RNAcentral's name for it is "bacterial SSU rRNA". It matches the Rfam family "Bacterial small subunit ribosomal RNA", at positions 355 to 776 of the family's 1533-position model. The record is from RNAcentral.